RNAcentral lists this ribosomal RNA (1372 nucleotides) under uncultured bacterium. Its description in RNAcentral is "bacterial SSU rRNA". It matches the Rfam family "Bacterial small subunit ribosomal RNA", at positions 28 to 1381 of the family's 1533-position model. The record is from RNAcentral.
GAUGAACGCUGGCGGCGUGCCUAAUACAUGCAAGUCGAGCGAACAGAUAAGGAGCUUGCUCCUUUGAAGUUAGCGGCGGACGGGUGAGUAACACGUGGGUAACCUACCUAUAAGACUGGGAUAACUUCGGGAAACCGGAGCUAAUACCGGAUAACAUUUAGAACCGCACGGUCCUAAAGUGAAAGAUGGUUUUGCUAUCACUUAUAGAUGGACCCGCGCCGUAUUAGCUAGUUGGUAAGGUAACGGCUUACCAAGGCGACGAUACGUAGCCGACCUGAGAGGGUGAUCGGCCACACUGGAACUGAGACACGGUCCAGACUCCUACGGGAGGCAGCAGUAGGGAAUCUUCCGCAAUGGGCGAAAGCCUGACGGAGCAACGCCGCGUGAGUGAUGAAGGGUUUCGGCUCGUAAAACUCUGUUAUUAGGGAAGAACAAAUGUGUAAGUAACUGUGCACAUCUUGACGGUACCUAAUCAGAAAGCCACGGCUAACUACGUGCCAGCAGCCGCGGUAAUACGUAGGUGGCAAGCGUUAUCCGGAAUUAUUGGGCGUAAAGCGCGCGUAGGCGGUUUCUUAAGUCUGAUGUGAAAGCCCACGGCUCAACCGUGGAGGGUCAUUGGAAACUGGGAAACUUGAGUGCAGAAGAGGAAAGUGGAAUUCCAUGUGUAGCGGUGAAAUGCGCAGAGAUAUGGAGGAACACCAGUGGCGAAGGCGACUUUCUGGUCUGUAACUGACGCUGAUGUGCGAAAGCGUGGGGAUCAAACAGGAUUAGAUACCCUGGUAGUCCACGCCAUAAACGAUGAGUGCUAAGUGUUAGGGGGUUUCCGCCCCUUAGUGCUGCAGCUAACGCAUUAAGCACUCCGCCUGGGGAGUACGACCGCAAGGUUGAAACUCAAAGGAAUUGACGGGGACCCGCACAGGCGGUGGAGCAUGUGGUUUAAUUCGAAGCAACGCGAAGAACCUUACCAAAUCUUGACAUCCUUUGAAAACUCUAGAGAUAGAGCCUUCCCCUUCGGGGGACAAAGUGACAGGUGGUGCAUGGUUGUCGUCAGCUCGUGUCGUGAGAUGUUGGGUUAAGUCCCGCAACGAGCGCAACCCUUAAGCUUAGUUGCCAUCAUUAAGUUGGGUACUCUAGGUUGACUGCCGGUGACAAACCGGAGGAAGGUGGGGAUGACGUCAAAUCAUCAUGCCCCUUAUGAUUUGGGCUACACACGUGCUACAAUGGACAAUACAAAGGGCAGCUAAACCGCGAGGUCAUGCAAAUCCCAUAAAGUUGUUCUCAGUUCGGAUUGUAGUCUGCAACUCGACUACAUGAAGCUGGAAUCGCUAGUAAUCGUAGAUCAGCAUGCUACGGUGAAUACGUUCCCGGGUCU